RNAcentral lists this ribosomal RNA (491 nucleotides) under Pleotomus sp. CO1056. RNAcentral describes it as "partial 16S ribosomal RNA". It matches the Rfam family "Bacterial large subunit ribosomal RNA", at positions 1825 to 2600 of the family's 2925-position model. The record is from RNAcentral. Lineage: Eukaryota; Metazoa; Arthropoda; Insecta; Coleoptera; Lampyridae.
GUCCUUUUGAUAAUAAUUUAAGGUCUAAUCUGCUCAAUGAUAAUUAAAUAGCCGCAGUAUUUUGACUGUGCAAAGGUAGCGUGAUAAUUAGUUUCUUAAUUAGAAACUUGAAUGAAUGAUUGGACAAGAAAAUUUCUGUCUCUUUUUAAUUUUUUGUGAAUUUAAUUUUUAAGUUAAAAUGCUUAAAUGGUUAUAAAAGACGAGAAGACCCCAUAGAGUUUUAUUUUUAUUAGUUUUUAGUAUGAUUUUUAAAAUUAAAAAAUUGGUUGGGGUGACUAAAAGAUUUAAUAAACUCUUUUAAUUUUAAUCAUAGAUUUAUGAAUAGAAAGUCUAAUUUUUUUAAAUUUAAAUUAAGUUACCUUGGGGAUAACAGCGUAAUUUCUUUUAGAGUUCUUAUCGAAUUAGAAGAUUGCGACCUCGAUGUUGGAUUAAAAUUUAUUUUAGGUGUAGGAGCUUAAAAAUUGAGUCUGUUCGACUCUUACAAUUUUACA